Kogia breviceps (pygmy sperm whale) is the source of this 2957-nucleotide non-coding RNA. The record is from RefSeq and is a predicted model, not a curated record. Lineage: Eukaryota; Metazoa; Chordata; Mammalia; Artiodactyla; Physeteridae.
GAAAAGCUAAUUUUUUAAUGAAUGAAAUAUGUACUAUAUGCAAGACUGCUGUGGAAGUAUAUUACAGUAUAAUAACAAGUAUUGCUCUUUAGAAAAUGUAGAAUUGGUAAAUUUUCCUUUCCCCAUUAUAUAAUGAUUAGGGAAAAAAAUUAGGUAUACAUUUAGACUCUGGAUGGACCUGUGCGAGUAGAUUCAGCCUGCACUAAUGCUCGUGUUUCCUCCUCUGGAAUGACACAUAGGGCUUCCUAGAAGUUGAGAAACACCUCAAACACUGCAAUUUUAAAGAUUCCUGAUGUAUUAAAAGUUAACACACAUCAAAAUUCAUUUUCAUAUAUUGUGGAAUUUUUUAAGUGUUUACAUUUGAUAAGUCAGUGCUCCAUGCUUUUAAAAUACAUACAUAAAGGUAGUGGCCCUACACAUAACAGUUUGCAGGUAUUAUCCAAGUCUUGUAUGAGUCUUGGGCUCAAAUCAGACAAUCCUAAAAGACCGCAAUGUCAUCCAUAUCAUGAGGGGGCACAUGAUUCCAUCCCCAAAGGUCAAAUCCCUUGCCCGUUUUCAAGGGCGAUACCUAAAUCUUAUCCACUGACUUAAAGCCCAGGGAUUCUCUUUAAACAUCGGAGGAGCAGCUCUCUUUGCGAAGGAGUCCCAGAAGAAAACAGUUCGUGGAUGGUAGUCUGGUUCCUAGGUUGGGGACGACUUCACAGGGGUUCAUUGUAUAAUGAAACUUCCCAGCAUUCAUUUUUAUGUCAUAUUUUAUAUGUUUCAAAUAAUACAUAAUGAAAGUUUAAAAAAAUUAAGGAAUUGAAAACAACCGGUUACAGAAAAUCCCUGUGCUUUAGGCACUUGGAGAGCUUAGCCUCUUCGUGAGCACUGGUGCAUGACUGUCGAAAGUUUUGUUGGCAGAAUUGAUGUUUGAGGAGGAGAAUGUCAGAAAAACAGCUGCGCCCUCGGUAGGGCUUAGUGGGCCUGCUCGGGGUGUGGGGUGAGUCUGGACAGCUGCGUUCUAGGUCACUGCUGUAACAGCAGUAAGCCCGGGGCCAUUUUCUCUUUGGGGAAUAAGAUCAUGUUUUGUAAAAAGGUGGGGUUUUUUGCCAAUUUUUUUUCAAAACCAUUUGCCUAAGGAAAUGCUAUUCAUCCUUGCAAAACUCACUGUUAUUUUCAUAGGAGCUUAAUUCAUAAUAGCCCAAACCUAGGAAGAGCCCAAGUGUUCACCAAUAGAUGAGUGGGUACCACUGGAUGAACUGGUAGGUUCCUACGGUGGAAUUCCGCUCAGCCAUAAGGAGUGAACUGCCAACACACGCAGCAACACGGAUGGAGUCUCAGUCGUUGUGUUGGGACAGAACAGACAGAGACAAAAGAUGGCACGCUGCUAUGAUGUCAUUUCUAUCAAGUUCUAAGGGCAACACUGCGCUAUAGUGAUAGAUGCUUUCGGUGGGUGGGUGGUGCAUGAAGAAGCUUUCUGGAGGGACAGUGAUGCAUACGUUCUAUUUUUAAUGGGUUGUGGCUACACUGAUAUUUAAAUUUACCAAAACUCAUCAAACCAUACACUUAAAAUCCAUACAUUUUGCUCUAUUAAACUUAUACCUCAAUUAAAAGACUGAGAAAUAAUGAGAAACAGUAAACAAUAAAUAAAUGGAAUGCUUUUCACCCAUUAGAAAAACCUUCAGACCAUUGGAGCUUAACAUAAUACCUUCAGAUAUUAGUAUGGGCUAAUGUAAGAAAUGUUUGUAUGAAGACUGUUGGUGUCUCUUCCUCAAAAACUCCUUGUGGGGAUGUUGUCAGUAAUGUACUUCAGCGUUCCUGUGCAGAUCUGCAGAUGGCAUUUUUUAUAUAUUUCUUCAUGAAUUGCUAUGAUUCCUUUUAGAAAAUGAUAGUAAAUACAUAGCUUAUCAAGUUUCCUUUUUGUUCUAGGCUUACCAUUCCAUGAAUGCUGCUGUCCUUAGCAUUCUUACCCAUGCUCCAGGUUGUUUUUCUUUAUUUCUUUUUGUUUGAUGAGCUCUUGCCCUGCCUUCCAGGCAGCUGCACCUGGAGAAGCAACCUAGUCUCCUGCUGCCUCCUUGGAAUAGUUUCCAUAUUGUAGGAUAUUUUGGAAUGUCUUCAACCUAAUGUGUCACACCUUCUAUCAGGGUUUCAGUUUGAGUUAUGCCACAGGCUAAACUUUUGAUCUCGGACAAUUAACUACUGCAGACCUCAUUUCCAUCCUCUGAAAAUAGACACGAUGAGUAAGCUGGUGUUACCAUCCCUAAAAUGUUACGAAGCUUACUUUCUAGUUCUGUAUAGAUGCCCUUGCUGAAAAUUGCCCUGUCUCCCCAGCGUGUGUGUGUGUCCUCUGAACAGAGAAAAGGUGAGUUCUGCUGAUUCUAAUUUAGUAUUCACUAUAACCUCCUUCAUGAAGCAUUUUUUUUGACUGUGGAAUUCCACGGCCUCUCCUAUGGCCACUGAAAGCCAAAAUGAGUUGCCUCUGAAUUUGUGUGGAAGCCAAGAUUCCAAUGAGUCGUCCUGAAUUUAUGAUUCUUCCCCAAGUAACCAAUAACUGUCCAUGAUUCAAUCUAUUUAAGUACAUUUCAAAGGCAAUUCAGUUACAUCUAAGCAGCUAAAGAUCAAGUUUAUUGUUUUUCAGUAACUCCAAAAGGCUUUUUUUUUUUUUUAAUAUAGGUAUAUGUACUUCUAGGCAAGUAUAUAGGGGUUUGGCAUUUGCCUAUCUUUUGGAGAAGAAAGUUUUAAUUUCUGUGGCUAGUGUUUCCCUAGGAAUGCCUUUUAAAAUUCCAGUUUUUAUAAUACAGUAUAAAAGAUCUUUCUAGGGACUUCCCUGGCUGUCCAGUGGUUAAGACUCCACGCUUCCAGUGCAGGGGGCAUGGGCUCCAUCCCUGGUCUGGGCACUAAGGAUCCCACAGGCCCUGUGGCAGCAGCAAAUAAAUAAAUUUUUAAAAAUAUAUAAAUAUAUAAAUAAAUAAAUA